CUAAAUGGUGAUUAGAAAAUAAUAUAAUAACUUUUAUGAUUUACAGCCCUGAAU
This 54-nucleotide small nucleolar RNA is filed under the name Ferroplasma acidiphilum. Its description in RNAcentral is "C/D box methylation guide snoRNA". Lineage: Archaea; Methanobacteriati; Thermoplasmatota; Thermoplasmata; Thermoplasmatales; Ferroplasmaceae. The record is from RNAcentral.